AUUGAACGCUGGCGGAAUGCUUUACACAUGCAAGUCGAACGGUAGAGGGGGCAACCCCUCGAGAGUGGCGAACGGGUGAGUAAUAUAUCGGAACGUGCCCAGUCGUGGGGGAUAACGUAGCGAAAGUUACGCUAAUACCGCAUACGAUCUAAGGAUGAAAGCGGGGGAUCGCAAGACCUCGCGCGAUUGGAGCGGCCGAUGUCAGAUUAGGUAGUUGGUGGGGUAAAGGCUCACCAAGCCAACGAUCUGUAGCUGGUCUGAGAGGACGACCAGCCACACGGGAACUGAGCCACGGUCCAGACUCCUACGGGAGGCAGCAGUGGGGAAUAUUGGACAAUGGACGCAAGUCUGAUCCAGCCAUUCCGCGUGCAGGAUGAAGGCCCUCGGGUUGUAAACUGCUUUUGUACGGAACGAAAAGGUCUCUCUUAAUACGGGGGGCUCAUGACGGUACCGUAAGAAAAAGCACCGGCUAACUACGUGCCAGCAGCCGCCGUAA
Molecule: ribosomal RNA, 496 nt
Filed under: uncultured bacterium
Lineage: Bacteria
Description: partial 16S ribosomal RNA
Rfam family: Bacterial small subunit ribosomal RNA
Source: RNAcentral